AGUGAACGCUGGCGGCAGGCCUAACACAUGCAAGUCGAACGGCAGCGGGUAGGAAGCUUGCUUCCUAUGCCGGCGAGUGGCGGACGGGUGAGGAACACAUCGGAAUCUACUCCGUCGUGGGGGAUAACGUAGGGAACUUACGCUAAUACCGCAUACGACCUAAGGGUGAAAGUGGGGGACCGCAAGGCCUCACGCGAUGGAAUGAGCCGAUGUCCGAUUAGCUAGUUGGCGGGGUAAAGGCCCACCAAGGCGACGAUCGGUAGCUGGUCUGAGAGGAUGAUCAGCCACACUGGGACUGAGACACGGCCACGACUCCGUACGGGAGGCAGCGAGUGGGGAAUAUUGGACAAUGGGCGAAAGCCUGAUCCAGCCAUGCCGCGUGGGUGAA
RNAcentral lists this ribosomal RNA (388 nucleotides) under uncultured bacterium. Its description in RNAcentral is "bacterial SSU rRNA". It matches the Rfam family "Bacterial small subunit ribosomal RNA", at positions 30 to 409 of the family's 1533-position model. The record is from RNAcentral.